GACGAACGCUGGCGGCGUGCUUAACACAUGCAAGUCGAACGGAAAGGCCCGGCUUUUGUGGGGUGCUCGAGUGGCGAACGGGUGAGUAACACGUGUGUAACCUGCCCUUGACUUUGGGGUAACUUCAGGAAAAUGGGGCUAAUACCGGGUAGGAUCUCCUGCUGCAUGGUGGGGGUUGGAAAGUUUCGGCUGUUGGGGAUGGACUCGCGGCUUUUGAGCUUGUUGGUGGGGUAGUGGCGUACCCGGGUUUUGAAGGGGAGCCGGCCUGAUAGGGUGGUCGGCCGCCCUGGAAGGGGAACGGGCACAUGGCUACUGAGAGACGCACCAGAAGGGUACGGGAGGCAGCAGGGGGGAACAUUGCACAAUGGGGGGACGUGUGAUGCAGCAACGCCGCGUGCGUGAUACCGGGUUUCUGGGUAUAAACCGCUUUGGCAGGUGAUGAACAGGGAGUGACGGUAACGGGUAAAGAAGCAACGGCUAACUACGUG
This 488-nucleotide ribosomal RNA is filed under the name uncultured bacterium. RNAcentral's name for it is "partial 16S ribosomal RNA". It matches the Rfam family "Bacterial small subunit ribosomal RNA", at positions 28 to 507 of the family's 1533-position model. The record is from RNAcentral.